GAUGAACGCUGACAGAAUGCUUAACACAUGCAAGUCAACUUGAACUUCGGUUUGGGUGGCGGACGGGUGAGUAACGCGUAAAGAACUUGCCUCACAGAUAGGGACAACAUUUGGAAACGAAUGCUAAUACCUGAUAUUAUGAUUAUAUGGCAUCGUAUAAUUAUGAAAGCUAUAUGCGCUGUGAGAGAGCUUUGCGUCCCAUUAGCUAGUUGGAGAGGUAGCGGCUCACCAAGGCGAUGAUGGGUAGCCGGCCUGAGAGGGUGAUCGGCCACAAGGGGACUGAGACACGGCCCUUACUCCUACGGGAGGCAGCAGUGGGGAAUAUUGGACAAUGGACCAAGAGUCUGAUCCAGCAAUUCUGUGUGCACGAUGAAGUUUUUCGGAAUGUAAAGUGCUUUCAGUUGGGAAGAAAAAAAUGACGGUACCAACAGAGGAAGUGACGGCUAAAUACGUG
This 454-nucleotide ribosomal RNA is filed under the name uncultured bacterium. Its description in RNAcentral is "partial 16S ribosomal RNA". It matches the Rfam family "Bacterial small subunit ribosomal RNA", at positions 28 to 507 of the family's 1533-position model. The record is from RNAcentral.